CCGUUAUAGUCACCACUUGACAACACUCAACUCCAGAAACAGACGGAAAUGUCAAGGAAAUGACCACGAGAAACGACGUCAUUCUUGUCAUUCUGCCGAGUGCAGGUCCUAAUUUCAAAACACAAGAAGCAUCUUAUCAUUUAAUAAUAAAAAUUAUAAUAUAGCAUUUGUAAAUUCUGAACGCUGAUUGGCUAAGAGCCGUGUUGAUAUAACUCCAUGUCAACACGGGAAAUUUUCCGCCGCUUGUAAACACGGAAAUUUUUCUUAUUCUUCGGGCUUUUGACAUUGCUAUAUUAUAAAACAAAUAUAAAACAUUUUUUCCGUAUUGAUAUAUAGUUAUAUCAACACUCGUGGAAGUUGGGAAAUCUCG
Non-coding RNA from Paramuricea clavata, 370 nucleotides. NCBI's taxonomy places the organism in Eukaryota, Metazoa, Cnidaria, Anthozoa, Malacalcyonacea, Plexauridae. The record is from the annotation of a GenBank genome assembly.